Molecule: non-coding RNA, 1144 nt
Organism: Monodelphis domestica (gray short-tailed opossum)
Lineage: Eukaryota; Metazoa; Chordata; Mammalia; Didelphimorphia; Didelphidae
Source: RefSeq, a predicted model, not a curated record
GGUGCUGUGGCCAUGGCAACCGCGUUACUAAGAGGGCGGGGAAGGGAUGCUGCGGGAGGGGGAGGAGGGCACCAGGACCACAGAGCAGAGAUUUCAGAUGAGAGCGCUAAACCUCCAAAAGCUUCUGGAGGCCAGGGACAGUGACCGCUUAGCUGCUGUUUUUGUAGCCCGCGCGCCCAACACACUGCCAGGCACAUAGAGGGCGGGAGGAGGACAAGGACUGUACCUGUGUUUUUAUUUGUUCAGAAAACUCUUAGAGGAGGAACUACUUUUAGCAGUGCAGAUCAGCACUUUAUGUUCAACUUACAGUCUUUGACAAGUGUUGCCCAGAGAACUGAAAGAUUGUGACUAGCAUAAAGUCAUUCAGCAAAGUUGGCACCUGAAAAAUAUAUGAAAUGAUUUCUAGCUAUGUGACAUUGGAAUGGCACCCUCAUCUGCCCUUUUAUAUUGUCCUUUCUCAUGAAGAACCCAGCAGCUCUUUUCAGUCAUCAGAGGAGAACCUGGACUUGGCUAUCUUUUUUAAGUAGCUGGAUGUCAAAGCAAGAGUUAGGAGCUAAGAAUAUUGGAAUGCUGAAAAAGGCCAGUCUAGAGGUUGUCAGCCCACUGGACAGUUUAUCUAUCUUCAUCCACUUCUGAAAUCUUCAAGCAAAGACUGAAUGAUCACUUCUGGGAUAUGAGUUCAAGACGAUAUUUACCAUGUGCAGCCAUAGAUCUCACUAAAUGGUGAAAUGAAGCUGUUCAAUACUUGUAUCUUCUGAGGGUACAAAUUAUUUUACACCCAUGCAACAACCAGAGGGAGGGCUGGAACAAAUACAUAAAAAGACUUUUUGUAAAUGCUCUGUUGGCCUUGACAAGCUGGAAAAGCUUUGCAUAUCAGCUCAUAAACAGACUAUAUAUCUCUGUAUGGAUACCAAAAAGCAUAGCUAACAGCAAUAAGAAAGACAAGUGACCAGGUUAGAAACAACUGGUAAGUAUUGGAAGGUUUGGCAUCUGUAAUCAUUAAAGGGUGGUCCUUACAUUGAUGAAAUCACUCGUACUUAAACUCUUGAAAUAAUGAUGAAGAUGAUGAAGGUAACAGCUAACAUUUAAAUAGUGUGUCCUAUAUACUACUGGGUGCUAUAUUAAGUGUUUUAUAAUUCUGAUG